Molecule: long non-coding RNA, 789 nt
Filed under: Homo sapiens (human)
Lineage: Eukaryota; Metazoa; Chordata; Mammalia; Primates; Hominidae
Description: HSALNT0368904
Source: RNAcentral
UCCUUCCAUAGAAUCUUACUCAUUGUUGAUUUCUUCUCUUAAGCCGGAGCUCGGCUUCAGGAGUACUUUUCAAAAUAUCAUGUAUUUUGCUAACUCUAUAUAACUCCAUGUGUCAUUUCAUCCAGAAAACUUGUUUCUAAUGCUUUUUUCUCUGGACUCUAAGCUGGUUGAUGCCACCAGGCCUUGGGAAAAAGCCUGCCUUCUGAUAGGAUUGCUAUUGAGUAGCAAAAAUUCUUGGAUUCUGAUAACAUCUUUCAUGCAGAAACUCAAAGCAUCUCCCAAAUUAUAAGCCCAUUCUUUUACACUGUUCUACACUCUCACACUCUAGGAACAACUCAUUUCAAUCUUGGGACAUUGACCAGAAUUCAGGGAAACUAGCAUGAUCCUUCCAGUCUGACGUUUCAUUCCAUCUACUGUCCAAAGCUGUGUCUACAAGGCAUCACCUAUGAGACAAUAAAACAAACCCUCUGAAAUCAGGAAAUUUGCCAGAAGAUGGCGAGCUGGGAAGAAAUAAAACCAGGAUUUGAGCCAGGACUGACUGCAAAGUGCGGUGCUAGAGGACCUUCUGAGUCAAGCCCUGGGACUUCUUCACCUACAGAAAGCAGAACUUGGCUUCAAGCUGACCUCACCCCACCUGCAAGUCUUAAUACACUUGGACAUGCCAUGAAAUGACAAGAAAUAUUCAGAUUUUAGAUAUGUAAAAAUAUUAAAACUAUGCCUCUUAGAAUCUGUGAAGUAUGGUAUAUGUAACCCUUUUUUGUGCUAAAUGUUAUAACAUGAGAAUUUACU